AUUUUGCUGGAGAUCCCUGUGUACCUGAGGCCUUCUAAAGAAAAAAAUAUUUAGCAAGACUUAUGAAGAUACAUGGCAUCGUUUUCAAAAACAUGGAGGGAAAAGAGAAAGGCGUGCUUUUUCCAAUAUGAAGAAUGGAAAGAGAAUUUUGAAACUGUUCUGUGUAAAACCUUGUCUUUGCAAGGAGGUACACAUCCCCUGACUGCAGGUGGAGGAAAACAUACUCAGAUCUUCAUAAAGCUACAUAGGUGAAACUGCACUGAAAAAAUAUCAAGUGGAAAAUUAACCUCAUAUAAACAACCAUGCUAGGAAUAAAAAUAAAAAUAUUAAAUGCUCUGCGUGUACAGAAAGGCAGCUUGGAUACUGGCCUGCACCAUUCAGUGUUCUCAGCAAAGACUAAUGUUGCAUUACAAUGAAUGUCACUUUAAUGAGGCAGAAAAAAUUGGUCCGAAGACAGCCUGCUGAAUUCAAUCACCUGCUUCACUUGACAUGAGAAACUAGUCACAGGACAUGCCAUACACAGCCCCAGCAGUGACAGUGCUCCCUGUAACAAUAUGAAGUUGCAAAAGAUUUCAACCUGUGAACUACUUCUACAGAUGAACAGAUCAUGUUUUAACAUGAACAAGCUCUAUUUGCUUUAUUGGGAAAAACAUGAAAUUGUGUUUAUCACCAUCAUCCUUGCCUUUUGGAAGGAGAAGAAGCCAGGCAAAUUUCUUGGGGAAAAUCUUGUGCGAGGCUUACCCUCCAGGACUACAUUAAAAAGCAAACAAAACCCAGUACGCUGCAAUUUGAGGACAGGACUCAAAGAAUUCAUAAAAGAAAUGAAAAUUGUCUUGAUUCAAUUUAUUUCUGAAUUCAGUGUAUCCUUUUAAGACCAGUAUUGGUCAUAGAUAUAUUCUGGUUAUAGCCAAGGUUUUACCCUAAUAAUUAUCAAUCAUAUAUAGCAGCUUAAAUCUGUACCUUUUUCCAGUAAAGCUGUAACCAUGUAUACAGCAAAAGAAGAAAUUGCAAUAGGAGCAACAGAAAUCUGUCACUGUAGCAGUGUAGGUGGCUCUUAAUUCUAACAAAAAUGCCAUGUGUUAUGACGUACAGGUGUAAACUAUGCCACUGUACAGAUGAAUAAAGUCAAUAUAUUACUGAUUCAGUG
RNAcentral lists this long non-coding RNA (1147 nucleotides) under Gallus gallus (chicken). RNAcentral describes it as "lncRNA (ENSGALG00010006706.1)". Lineage: Eukaryota; Metazoa; Chordata; Aves; Galliformes; Phasianidae. The record is from RNAcentral.